UGGCUGUAAUUUUAAAGAUAUUCACCAGAGUUAUGACAAACUAUAUAUCAGUAGAAAGCUUAUGACCUAUAGAAACUAAAAAUACUAAUCACUAGUACCUAACGUCCUUUGUAACCUGACACCAGGCCGGCAAUCAUACCACAUGCUGUGCAAAACUAGGGUGCAUUUGAGAAAAGAUAUCUGCUUAUAAAUUGCUUGGAAUUUUAAGAAAUUUUAUCAGUAAGUAGUAUAGGCAUCAUUAUCUUAAAUGAGCAUAGAACUUUUUUGUAUGAUAAAUCUAGUGGCCACAGCAGAGGUACAAAGUUAACAUAGGUUUUUUCGAUAAUAUUUUUUGUCAUAAAAUGUAUUCCACACAAGAUACAGAAAUUUCCUAUGCUUAAUUAAGGUGGCUCGAUACACUUUUUAGCCAAAGGAGCAAAAGUUGAAUAUUUUCUGUUUAAAUGCUUUUACAGGGUUAAGUUUUACUUAUAAUUGUAACACAUAGUAAGACGUGUCACAGACAAGAAGAAUUCUGAUAAAAGUCGCGUUUCCAUGACAACUAUAACGAAUACUGGCAACACUAAAUAGCCGAAAAUAUCGCAGUUUUUCGAGUUUUUUUAAAAAAUGAGUUCGGUGACCCCAACUUUUUUUUUAAUAAAUCAGUUACGUUAGUGUCGAGAAACAUUUCUGGGAAGUUUAAAAAAAAUCUGUCGACUCAAUUCUUUAGAAUUAAAUUUCGACUUUUUUGACAGUUUCUGUCGACAAUUUUUUUUUAUUUUUCUAUCAUGAAAUCUUGAAGCAUGUAUCUACUCAUGUACAAAUUUUCAGGGUACCUUACCGAACUCGUUUUGGAAAUAAUCACGGUUUUAUUCCGCGCGGCCAAAGUUUUUCACACUCUGCAAGAUCAAUGAAUUGACAUGCGCGUACAUGUUUUCGCAGGCGCAUCUCCAGAAAAACACGCACAAAAAAGUUUUUAGUCUCGUCGAAAUAUCAAAUAUAUAUUGUGUUUUCUUGCUUAGAAAUGCAAAUAUAUUUGGUUUUUCAUGCUAACUCGGGAUAACGCCAAGAAAACAGGUGAUUGUCGGUCGUUUGGUAUAAGAUAUGUGUAACAUGUAUGAACUUUUUGGCUUUUCUACAUAGUUUUAUAUUCGUUUUCAGUCGUAACUUGUGUGUUUUCAUGUUGUUGUUGACAAGUUAAAACAGUUUGAACCGGCGCACGAUGCUGUUUCACUGAAUUCCUUUGCUGUUAGUAACACUUUGAAUACAUUUACCAGUUGUAAGUACAAAAAAACUCUGGAUAUGAACUUAUAAAUCGCCAAAUAUUGGAGUAAAAACUUUUCGCCGGUCCGGGGCCGAUCGCCAGUUUUCACAAGAGUUUGAAAGUUGAACAUUGCAUUUUUUUACCUUAAAAUGUCUUCUAAAAAGACUAGUUAUUCAAUGUUCAGAGCUAAAUCAGGACGAAGUUUGUUCUUUGAGAACAAAUGAGAACAAGGAAGACUCAAAACAUCAAAAUAAACAUGACUUGUGGUUCGGAUUUUAUACCGAAAAAGUUGUAUUUAUUUUUGCAUAUAUUUUUAACAUUUUCGCGCGAGAACUGAAGAUUAGGUACCAGUCCCCCAAUGAUGAAAAGUGUAUGGAGCCACCUUAAGACAGCUCUAAUAAAAGAAUAAGCCCUGAAAAUUUCAGGACAAUUGGUUAAAUACAUCAUGAGGUAUCUUUUCUCAAAGACGGAAAAUGUACAUUCCGAGAAAACAAGUGUUAAAGUUUUUAAACAACUGUUCGAGCUGUUCCUGACAGGUUUCAGGGACUUUAGCCUAUUUUUUUGUCAUUAGAAGUACUUUUAGCACUUCAGAAGCCUCCAGCCUCAUAGGUUGUCCCUUCUGCUUCUCAUAGAGCUUCGUCUCUCGGUUUUCUUUUGGAGCUGCUCCACCUGUCGACGUCUGUUGUUUUUUCAGAUGUCUGGCGGUUAAACUUUCUGACCUGUUUCUUGUCUUUUAAGAGCAAACUUAGUUUUUCCUGCAGUUUGAUGUUUGGUUUAAAAGAUGUUCCUGUGUGUUAACUUAAAUGACUCUAUUGGUAUAGCUAAAUUUUCCAUAGUUUUCUUUGCCGAACCCUCUUGCUGGUAACAAGGAUGUUUAAAGAUGCACACUCCACUCAUCGUGCUUACCAAAGGAAUAUGAAGACCAACAUUUACCACAGUUUUUUGUAUAUGUGAAUCAAUUUUCAAUACCAAAUUACAUGAUUUUGUAAGAUAACAUUGUCUGUAACUGUAUUCUUGUGCUAUUGCUGCAAGCGGUACACUCGGUAACCGUAUUUGGCCCAAAACAAGCUCUCAAACUUGGUACAACUUGACAUGUAAUUACAGUACCUAAAAUGCAGUACAGAAACAACCUCAUUAAUAUUAAUACCAAGAAGCAUUAAAAUAGUAAAAUUAUAACAAUGAAGCAAGAAAUAAUGUAUUGAUAUC
This 2446-nucleotide long non-coding RNA is filed under the name Paramuricea clavata. The record is from RNAcentral. Lineage: Eukaryota; Metazoa; Cnidaria; Anthozoa; Malacalcyonacea; Plexauridae.